RNAcentral lists this ribosomal RNA (253 nucleotides) under uncultured bacterium. RNAcentral describes it as "partial 16S ribosomal RNA". It matches the Rfam family "Bacterial small subunit ribosomal RNA", at positions 524 to 776 of the family's 1533-position model. The record is from RNAcentral.
UACGAAGGGUGCAAGCGUUACUCGGAAUUACCGGGCGUAAAGCGUGCGUAGGUGGUUCGUUAAGUCUGAUGUGAAAGCCCUGGGCUCAACCUGGGAAUGGCAUUGGAUACUGGCGACCUAGAGUGCGGUAGAGGGGUGUGGAAUUCCCGGUGUAGCAGUGAAAUGCGUAGAUAUCGGGAGGAACAUCUGUGGCGAAGGCGACACCCUGGACCAGCACUGACACUGAGGCACGAAAGCGUGGGGAGCAAACAGG